This 372-nucleotide ribosomal RNA is filed under the name uncultured organism. RNAcentral describes it as "bacterial SSU rRNA". It matches the Rfam family "Bacterial small subunit ribosomal RNA", at positions 526 to 896 of the family's 1533-position model. The record is from RNAcentral.
CGUAGGUGGCGAGCGUUAUCCGGAUUUACUGGGCGUAAAGCGUGUGCAGGCGGGAGACCAAGUGGUGUAUGAAAUCGCCCAGCUUAACUGGGCAGGGUUAUGCCAGACUGGUUUUCUAGAGUGCGAGAGAGGGGCGUGGAAUUCCGGGUGUAGUGGUGAAAUGCGUAGAGAUCCGGAGGAACCCCAGAGGCGAAGGCGGCGCCCUGGCUCGCAACUGACGCUCAGACACGACAGCAUGGGGAGCGAACGGGAUUAGAAACCCCGGUAGUCCAUGCCGUAAACGAUGCAAACUAGGCGCUGAGGGUCUCAACCCCCACGGUGCCGCAGCCAACGCGAUAAGUUUGCCGCCUGGGGAGUACGGCCGCAAGGCUA